GCGAGAGUUGAGUUACCUGCAUUGUGUAGUUGAUUCAAUAUUUCAAUUUACCUAAAAAAAAAAAGAGCAUGUGGCUGUAAUAAUGAGCUCAGUUUUUAGAAUGAGAAGAUUCUGCAUUUCUUUGUUUUAAUUUAACCUAUGAUUUUACUCUCUUAAGUUUAUUCUUCUUUGUGUAAUUAACAUGCAUUGUCGUAACUACUGGCCAUGUCUUACUGGGUACUGUGACUUUUACAGUUACUUGUAAGAAAUAAGUAGCCCAUGUACUUAGAAUAAGAAGGUUGUCCUUUCGAAGUUUAUGUAAUCCCAUUUUGUCUGAUUUUGAGACAUUAUGAAUGGGAAGCUGAUAUAUUGGUUUUGAAUGCCACCAGUCGGAGGCAAAAAAGCGGAAAG
Molecule: unclassified non-coding RNA, 390 nt
Filed under: Hevea brasiliensis (rubber tree)
Lineage: Eukaryota; Viridiplantae; Streptophyta; Magnoliopsida; Malpighiales; Euphorbiaceae
Source: RNAcentral